RNAcentral lists this long non-coding RNA (1019 nucleotides) under Zonotrichia albicollis (white-throated sparrow). Its description in RNAcentral is "lncRNA (ENSZALG00000001089.1)". Lineage: Eukaryota; Metazoa; Chordata; Aves; Passeriformes; Passerellidae. The record is from RNAcentral.
AUGACCUUCAGGCCACUCUUGACCACCUUGGAUGACCUUCAGACCACCUUGAAUGCCCUUUGGACCACCUUGGAUGACCUUUGGACCACCUUGGCCCACCUUGGACAACCCUCAGGCCACCUUGGACCACUCUGGACCACCUUGAAUGACCCUCAGGCCACCUUGGACCACCUUGGACCAUCUUGGACCACCUUGGUUGAACCUCAGGCCACUCUUGACCACCUUGGAUGACUCUUGGACCACCUUGGCCCACCAUGAAUGACCUUUGGACCACCUUGGUUGACCUCAAAUGACCUUUAGGCCACCUUGGACCACCAGGAAUGACCCUCAGGCCACCUUGAACCACCUUGGACCAUCCUAAAUGACCUUUAGGCCACCUUGGAUGACCCUUGGACCAUCUUAGACAACCUUUGGACCACCUUGGAUGACCCUUGGACCACCUUGGCCCACCAUGAAUGACCUUCAGGCCACUUUGGAUCACCUUGGAUGAUCUUCAGACCACCUUGGACAACCAGGGAUGACCCACAGACCACCUUGGAGAACUCCUGGCCCACCAUGAAUGACCCUCAGACCAUCUUGGAUGACUUUUAGAUCACCUUGGACCAUCUCAAAUGACCUUCAGGCCACCUUGGAUGACCCUUGGACCAUCUUGGACAACCUUUGGACCACCUUGGAUGACCCUUGGACCACCUUGGAUGACCUCAAAUGACCCGCAGGCCACCUUGGACCACCUUGGACAACUCUUGGCCCACCAUGAAUGACCCUUGGACCACCUUGGACAACCUCAAACGACCUUCAGGCCACUCUUGACCACCUUGGAUGAUCUUCAGACCACCUUGAACUAUCUUGGCCCACCUUGGUUGACCCUUGGACCACCUUGGCCCACCAUGAAUGACCUUCAGACCACCUUGGUCCACCUUGAAUGACCUUCAGGCCACCUUGGCCACCACAAGGACCUUCAGGCCACCUUGGAUGACCUUUAGAUCAUCUUGGACCACCUUGGCCACCACAAGGACCUU